GGGUACUCCUUUUGCCCCAUACCAACACACCCCCGAGUGUAAAUACCAAACCUCUCUUCUUAUAUAGCAGUGGAGGGAGCUGGCCUUCCUCCUCCUCAAUGAAAGCACGUAAGAUCAUGACCGUCCAUCCAAUCUCUCCUUUCUUCACUACCGUCCAUCAUCAUUCUAACACCCCAUCGCCCUCAUCAUCAUCUCCAUCCAAACACUCACUAUCUACAGCUGCAGACUCUUACUUGAAUCUCCUUCUCCAAGGAAACGCUUCCCAAACACUUCCACCCCUAGAAAAAACCCUAUCCCAAAUCAAACAGAAGCUCGACUCCUCCUCCGUCGAAACCGUCCUCCGCAAUCCCUCCACCGUCCGACCAUUGGCCCUCCGAUUCUUCGUCUGGGCCGGUCACCAACCCAAUUACCGCCACACCGCGUUGAUGUACAGCAAAGCCUGCGAAUUUCUCGAAAUCGCCCACCGCCCUCAAACCCUAACCGACCUUCUAGAAGCUUACAGGGUCGAACGGUGUCCAGUCUCCGUCAGAACCUUCAAGAUCAUUCUCAAUCUCUGCAGAGAAGCGAAGCUUGCUGAUCAGGCAUUGGGUGUCCUGAAGAGGAUGGGGGAAUUCAAUUGCCGGCCGGACACGGCUUCCUACAAUGUUGUCAUCCGUCUCUUUGUUGAGAAGAAGGAGAUCAGUAUGGUGGAAGAUCUAGUGGAAGAGAUGGCGCUGAUUGGGCUUUACCCUGAUGUGAUCACCUGCAUUGCGAUGAUCAAGGGGUUCUGCAAUGCAGGCCGGUUGGAGGAUGCGUGGGCUGUCGUCCGACGUAUGCGGUGCCAUGGGUGCAUCCCGAAUGUGGCUGUGUACUCUGCGUUGCUUGAUGGGGCUUGCAGGAGUGGGAGUUUGGAGACUGCAUUGGAGUUGUUGGAAGAGAUGGAGAAAGAGAAGAAUGGCUGUGAGCCGAAUGUUGUCACGUAUACGUCGGUAAUUCAGAGAAUGUUUGAGAAGGGCAGAGUAGAUGAAGCGUUGACGGUUUUGGAUCGGAUGCGGGAGAAAGGGUGUGCUCCGAAUUGGGUCACGAUCAGCACGGUUAUUAAUGGGCUUUGUAUGGAAGGAUGGAUAGAUGAUGCGUAUAGGCUGAUUGAGAAAAUGGUGGCAGAAGGGAGCUGUUCAAGCGAUCGAUGUUAUAGCUCGCUGACAGUCUCUUUGCUGCGGAUGAAGGCUUUGGAUGAAGCAGAGAAGCUUGUUAGGAGGAUGUUGGACAGUGGUGUUACGCCAGAUGGAUUGGCGUCUGGGUCAUUGAUAAAGGAUCUUUGCUUGGCAGGACGGGCUUUGGACGGGUUUCGGUUUUUUCAUGAAGUAGAGAAGGUGUGUGGACUGCUUCUUGAUUCGGAUGUUUAUUCUGUUUUGGUUGCAGGGCUUUGUCGGCAAGGCCAUUUGGUCGAAGCUGCAGCCGUGGUUGGUGUGAUGGUUGCUAGAGGGAUUCGAGCGAGAGCUCCUUAUAUUGAUGGUGUUGUGGAAGAACUGAAGGCGGCUGGUGACAAUGAGCUGGCUUUGCACCUUUUGGGUAUUGGAGGAUGAUCAAAGUUAAAGUGCUCUACAAGACUUUGUUUGACAUCAGAAGAGCAACUUAGAAAGUGAGGCCAUUGCUUUUCUGGUGAAAAUUGGAGGACCCGCUCAAUUUUGAAUAGGUGGAAAAAAGCUAAACAACCAUGCCUCUUCAGGUGUGAUGAAAAGAUGAUCUGCAGAUUCCAACUAUUUUCAUAUUAUGAAUCUACUGGAGAGGGCCCAAACUCUGAUGAAGGUUAUCAACCCUGAAAAUCCUGUUUGCAAUAGCUGCGCAGAAUCAUGUUUUAUUUCAAUUUCUCUUUAGUGGAGUGUGUGGGGAGGGAUGUUUUAGCUGCCAGAACGAGUUGGAGGUUUUUGAAAUUAUACAGGGAAUAUUGCUGAUUUGUGAUCAUGUGUAAGGCAUUGGUUAACAGAGCAUGAAAUGACAAACCUGGUGGGAUGGAUUCAUCAUCAUCAUCAUCAACUCUGUUGCAUGGAUUGCUUGUGUAUCCAUAGGCCAGCCAUUGAAAGGUUAGGAUUGACCUGUUGAGGAGAUUUUAAAGGCAUUGUUAGCCAACGAUGAGGCACAUCAAACGGUGGCAUGGGCCCUGAUUGUAAAGAAUCUUGUGCAAGUGGAUGACAUCCUUAAGGACUACAGAUUGGAAAAAAAUGCAUUGGGAGUUGCUUUGAGCCGAAUUUGGGAACUGGGUCUUCUUUGAACCCUUCUGUUCUUUUAUCUUGUGAUGAUGUUAUGUGAUCCAAAUUCGUUCAUCUGCUUUGUUCCAGGCGGCAUUUUCAGUGCAAUGGAUAGACUUCCAUCU
Molecule: RNA transcript, 2353 nt
Organism: Magnolia sinica
Lineage: Eukaryota; Viridiplantae; Streptophyta; Magnoliopsida; Magnoliales; Magnoliaceae
Gene name: pentatricopeptide repeat-containing protein At5g47360
Exons: 3
Source: RefSeq, a predicted model, not a curated record